AAGGGUGGCCCGCCCUGGUCUCCCCGCGCCCCGCCGCCCGCCCCGGAGGGGUUUCCGGUGAUGCCCUCUGGUCGCGCCGGUGGCUCCAGCUGGAUUUGGGCAAGUUGGGGCCGGGCCGGAGCGGCGGCCGCCGGGGGUUGUUGGGCCCGGGUUCGUUGGGAGGCGCCUCGGGCCGGAGGGGCCUCGCGGGCCCGGGGCCCCGACGCGCCGACGCGCCGACGCGCCGACGCGCCCGACGCCCCGGGCCACCUGGCCCCGAGCAGAGCAGCCGGAUGUCCUGCGACCCGUCGCCGGGAUGCGGGCGGACAGGAGGCCUGGAGCGUCCGGGGCCGGCUUGGGAGAGCGCCUAGACUUGCGCCCCGCCCGCCCACAGUCCCCGGGGUGCCCGAGGCCUCCCGCGCCCUGGGCGGGCGGCAGGGCAGGGCAGGGCAGGGCAGGGCAGGGCAGGGCAGGGUUUGGCUGGCCGCGGCGGCGGCGGCGGCGGCGGUGGCGGGAGGCAGUGGCAGGCAGGCGGCAGGCGGCGGAGCGCGGGGCGCAGGGGACGCGGGCGUCCGGUGCGCGUCACAGGGGCUCGGGCGCGCGCGUCACAGGGGCCAGGCGACGGCGCGUCACAGGGACCAGGCGACAGCGCGCGCGCGCGCGCGCGCGCGAGGCUUCUUAGGGGCGCCGGCGGCAGCCACCAGCGUCUACGGCCAUACCACCCUGAACGCGCCCGAUCUCGUCUGAUCUCGGAAGCUAAGCAGGGUCGGGCCUGAAGCAGCACAGAGGAAAAGAUUCAGAAACUAAGGAUAAAGAUGCAGGAAGAUCGCGAUGGAGAGGAAUGAAAUUGAGGAGCUCUAAUGGAUGGUAUUUCUCUUCUUAGGAAGUCAUGACACCCUGCAAAAUAGCUCAAAGAGAGUUGACUGAAGAAAUGGAAACGUCAGUGAUGAAGGAUGCAAGAAACAGGACAGCAGUCCAGUAAUUCACCCUGGAGGGGUUUGCAGCUGUCCAGCAUCAUAGGAAGGUUUUCUUCCUGGUGCAUCUUCUGGAGUACCUGGCCUCCAUCAUGGGAAACAUACUCAUAAUCACCAUCACCUGGGCUGACCAUCACCUCCAGACACCUAUGUACUUCUUCCUCAGCAGUUUCUCCUUUGUUGAAUGCUGCUUAUAACCACUGUUAUUCCUAAGUUGCUGGCUAUCUUUCUGUCAUGGAGGAAAUCAAUUAAAAACAUGGAGAAAUCUAUACCAGGGCACAUACUAAUCAAAUUGCUCAAAACCAGUGAUAAAGAGAAAUCUUCAAAGCAGCCAGAAGAAAAAAAGACACAUUUCAUACAGAGGAACAAAGAUAAAUAUACCAAAGAUUUCUCUUUGAAAAUAACUAAGUGAGAACUCAAUGACACAAUUUUUAAAGGACUGUGAAUAAAAAUUUGCCAACCCAGAAUUCUGUAGUCAUGAAACUAUCUUUCAAAAAUGAAGGCAUACAAAAGAUAAAAGAAUUAAUCACCAGCAAAUCUACAGAAUGAUAGUUGGUAAAGGCAGUCCUCCAAGAGAAAGAAAAUUAUACCAGAUAUAAAUAUGGAUCUAUGCAAAGAAUGAAGAGCACCAGAAAUAGUAACCAUGGGGUAGGUAUAUAGGGUAUUUUUAAAUAAUUUAAAUUUCUUUGAAAGAUCAUUGACUCUGUCAACAAAAAUAGUAACAAUGCACUGUGGGGUUUAUAACAUAUGUAUAAGGAAAAUGUAUGAAAAGAAUAGCAUAAAGUCUGAGGGAGUAGAAAUGGAAGUAUGUUAUUACAAGUUGCUUAUAUGAUAUGUGAAGUGGUAAAAUAUCACUUGAAGGUAGACAAUGAUAAUUUAAAGAUGUAUACUAUAAAUCCAAGGCAACCACUGAAAUAAAAAUCAGAGUUGUAGCUAAGGAGCCAACAAAGGAGAUAAAAUGGAAUCAUCACAAUGGGGCAGCAGGAAACUUUUGGGCUGGUGAAUAUUUUCAUUAUAAUCAUUGUGGUGGUGAUUUUACAAAUGUUUAAAUGUGUCAAAACUUAUCAAAUUGUACUCUUGAAAUAUGUCCAUUUUAUUUUGUAUCAAUGAUACCUCAAUAAAGCUGUUUCAAAGACAAUAAAGCAGAUUGCAAUGGAAUAUUAAAAAUGCUUCAUUAAUUCAAAAAAAGAAAGGAGAAAAUAAGGAAUAUAUAAUGGUGGGGACAAAUAGAAGGAAACAUCAAAAUUGUAGAGUUAAAUCUAACUUUACAAUAAUGAGAUUAAA
Molecule: long non-coding RNA, 2237 nt
Organism: Equus asinus (donkey)
Lineage: Eukaryota; Metazoa; Chordata; Mammalia; Perissodactyla; Equidae
Source: Ensembl